UCAAAUUUUUGUAAUUUGGCAGAUCCUGUAUCUGGACAUGACAAAUUUCAGCUGGAAAAAUAUGUUGUGAAAAAUCUUUCAGAUGCCACAUCACAACUGGGGCCUCUGUUAAAGCCAAAAGUGCAGCUGGACCAUAUUAUUACAUAGCUAUUUUAUUUGCAUUCCUGACCCGUAAGGACCUUGUCCAGAGACUUCAGCCCCUCAAGGCUACAGAUUUCCCUGCAUUUUGGUAAUACCAGUCCCUUCCUCCUUCUCUCAAGGGAUGGUCAUUGUUUAUAAUUGUUGCCUCCUGGAUGAUCAGCCAUUCUGUCUAGUUUCUUUACAGCCUGACCACACAUCUUCAUUAAAAUGUUUUCAAUUCAA
This is a long non-coding RNA of Neofelis nebulosa (Clouded leopard), 363 nucleotides long. RefSeq lists it as uncharacterized. The transcript is spliced from 2 exons. The record is from RefSeq and is a predicted model, not a curated record. Lineage: Eukaryota; Metazoa; Chordata; Mammalia; Carnivora; Felidae.